Rhipicephalus microplus (southern cattle tick) is the source of this 188-nucleotide small nuclear RNA. RefSeq annotates it as U2 spliceosomal RNA. NCBI's taxonomy places the organism in Eukaryota, Metazoa, Arthropoda, Arachnida, Ixodida, Ixodidae. The record is from RefSeq and is a predicted model, not a curated record.
AUUCUUUCUAUGUGUUCGCUCUUAUUGAACCACUCUCUGUUCUUAUUAGGUUAAUAUGUGAUACGAAUACUAUUUGUGUCCAAGAUACUAAACUUGUUUUUGCAAUGCGGAGCAGUGCCUGAAGCUUGCUUCUACUCCGCCAUGGGUUGACCCGGUAUUGCACUAUCUCUGGGAUCAGCCGACUCGCC